UACGUAGGGUGCAAGCGUUAAUCGGAAUUACUGGGCGUAAAGCGUGCGCAGGCGGUGAUGUAAGACAGGUGUGAAAUCCCCGGGCUUAACCUGGGAACUGCAUUUGUGACUGCAUCGCUGGAGUGCGGCAGAGGGGGAUGGAAUUCCGCGUGUAGCAGUGAAAUGCGUAGAUAUGCGGAGGAACACCGAUGGCGAAGGCAAUCCCCUGGGCCUGUACUGACGCUCCAUGCACGAAAGCGUGGGGAGCAAACAGG
Molecule: ribosomal RNA, 254 nt
Filed under: uncultured bacterium
Lineage: Bacteria
Description: partial 16S ribosomal RNA
Rfam family: Bacterial small subunit ribosomal RNA
Source: RNAcentral